GGUAUACUCACUUUGGCAGGCCUUAUACUAAAAUUAAAAUGAUACUGAGAAGAUUAUCAUGGCACUGUGCAAGGAUGACACCCAAAUUCAUGAAGAGUUCCAUACUUUU
Rhinolophus ferrumequinum (greater horseshoe bat) is the source of this 109-nucleotide small nuclear RNA. The record is from Ensembl. Lineage: Eukaryota; Metazoa; Chordata; Mammalia; Chiroptera; Rhinolophidae.